GAAGACAAAUAUGGGACAACUACUUAGCCUGUCACAGUAGAGCUAGGCUAACAUUAUCUUUUGGGGCUAAAUGAAAUUGUCAAAGAUGUUUUUGCUGAUGUGUGGUGCUGCUAGCUAAACUAAAUGUAC
This is a long non-coding RNA of Thalassophryne amazonica, 129 nucleotides long. RefSeq lists it as uncharacterized. The record is from RefSeq and is a predicted model, not a curated record. The transcript has 3 exons. Lineage: Eukaryota; Metazoa; Chordata; Actinopteri; Batrachoidiformes; Batrachoididae.